RNAcentral lists this ribosomal RNA (484 nucleotides) under uncultured bacterium. Its description in RNAcentral is "partial 16S ribosomal RNA". It matches the Rfam family "Bacterial small subunit ribosomal RNA", at positions 30 to 507 of the family's 1533-position model. The record is from RNAcentral.
AUUGAACGCUGGCGGCAGGCCUAACACAUGCAAGUCGAGCGGAUGCAGGGAGCUUGCUCCUGGAUUCAGCGGCGGACGGGUGAGUAAUGCCUAGGAAUCUGCCUGGUAGUGGGGGAUAACGUCCGGAAACGGGCGCUAAUACCGCAUACGUCCUGAGGGAGAAAGUGGGGGAUCUUCGGACCUCACGCUAUCAGAUGAGCCUAGGUCGGAUUAGCUAGUUGGUGGGGUAAAGGCCUACCAAGGCGACGAUCCGUAACUGGUCUGAGAGGAUGAUCAGUCACACUGGAACUGAGACACGGUCCAGACUCCUACGGGAGGCAGCAGUGGGGAAUAUUGGUCAAUGGGCGAAAGCCUGAUCCAGCCAUGCCGCGUGUGUGAAGAAGGUCUUCGGAUUGUAAAGCACUUUAAGUUGGGAGGAAGGGCAGUAAGUUAAUACCUUGCUGUUUUGACGUUACCAACAGAAUAAGCACCGGCUAACUUCGUG